Molecule: long non-coding RNA, 1589 nt
Organism: Homo sapiens (human)
Lineage: Eukaryota; Metazoa; Chordata; Mammalia; Primates; Hominidae
Product: long intergenic non-protein coding RNA 1532
Source: Ensembl
AUUGUGGGGGCAGAUGGAUCUUUUAGAAGUUCACGGUUCGCCUUUCUCCUGCCCAGCCCCAUGCCUUAAGCAAAGUGUGGGAUGGUCUCGGGAGGACACCCACAAAUGUAAGUAGGAAGGUGGGAAGCAGCCUCUCCUCUAAUAUAGAAAAACAACUGUGACAGACAGAACAAAGCAUGUGGUUCAGACACGAGACCCUGAGCUAGCCCUGGGGAGGGAGACAGCAGCUUUGCAGCCGUUAUCCUCAGGAAGCCCUGAGCGCUGAGAGGCACUGUUACAGAACCGAACUGGGGUCCACUCGCUAGGCCUACCUAGGUGCCUGGAAUUUCCCUUCGAGGAACGCAGGAGUUUUCUUUAUUUUCAUGCUUGGGAAGGCUCAUUAGGCCCCUAAGAGAGGGUCCCUUCCCCAUCUCAGGACUAAAAUGCAAUGAAGAUGUUGCUCAGAGGCAGCUGGAGAGGGAUGGGUCUGUGGAGGAUGCCCCGCAGAGUGAAGUCGAGAUGAUGCAGCCACCAGGGCCGGAGGGGAGGGACAUUCCACUUUUUAAAUCAGCUUUCUGAAGCAUGAUCUCCAUAUAAUCACCUAGAAGCGUACAGCACAAUGAUCUUGACAGAUGCCAGCAUCCUUGGAACCACUGCCACCACCAACGUCUCAAACCAUUCCAUCAAACCCAGAACACUCCUGGUGCCCUGAAGCGUCUCCCUUCAGUGGCAGAACCAGCAGAGAUUCAGUGGUCACAAGGUGAGUGAGGCGGCCUGGGUCUGGCUCCUGGCCAUUAAUUUUAAAUAAUUUGCAUUUAACUUUGAACCACCACACCUGGCCAUAUUGGAUAGUGCAGGAGGAAUAAACUCACUGGCACAUCCUUCUGGGGCGUCUACUGUGUGCCCCCCUCCAAGCGGAGUGUGUGGGAACAGAGAGCAGCAUCCCUGCCACAGUGGGUGGCGGUCUGCUUGAGAGAUAUUUUAUUUUCUUGAAACAAAUAAAAAAGACAAAAGGAUGCAUGGUGUAAACACUGGUGGUCAGGCUAAAAUCAAAAAACCAUUAGUGGGCAACACAGCACAGAGUGGGCUCUGCCCAGGCCACAUGUGUGCAGUGCCAGGGCUCGGCUUCAGACCCAGAUGUCCACACCCAGCCCUGCCUAUUACACAAAGGCGGACAGAGCUGUGGGCCAGCGGCUGGCAAAAGGCCUUGGGGCAACCAGAACUCUCCAUCAGGGCAUUGCAGCCUUUAAGAGAAGGUGGGAACUGCUGCAUUUGCCCCGCCCUGGAUCUCAGCCCAGGAAACCCACUGUCACAGAACAACAGUCUUAGGAGCUUUCUUAUCGAGACAGUAGGAAGCUUUUAAACACAUCAGUGGUGAACGCCAGGCGGGUCUCUGGAACUUUUUCAUCUUGGAAAACUGAAACUCUCUACUCAUUGAACACUGUACACUUGAUUGAGAGCAAAUUGUAUGUGUUUUUGCCAGCCUCUUCCUGAAGGCGGACAUUUGUCUUGAUCUGUAUUGGAAUUCUUUAUCUAUGUUUAAAUUUUGUAUGAGAUUGAAUUCAUGUGUAUGUGAACUGAAAUGAAAUUAAAAUGUCAAACUACAAAAA